CCCUUAGAUGUUCUGGGCCGCACGCGCGCUACACUGACGAAGUCAGCGAGCAUGUCCUACGCCGACAGGUGCGGGGAAUCUUGUCAAACUUCGUCGUGAUGGGGAUUGAUUAUUGAAAUUCUUGAUCAUCAACGAGGAAUUCCUAGUAAGCGCAAGUCAGCAGCUUGCGUUGAUUACGUCCCUGCCCUUUGUACACACCGCCCGUCGCACCUACCGAUUGAAUGGUCCGGUGAAGCCUCGGGAUUGUGGUUAGUUUCCUUCAUUGGAAGUUAGCCGCGAGAACUUGUCUAAACCUUAUCAUUUAGAGGAAGGUGAAGUCGUAACA
Molecule: ribosomal RNA, 325 nt
Filed under: uncultured eukaryote
Lineage: Eukaryota
Description: partial 18S ribosomal RNA
Rfam family: Eukaryotic small subunit ribosomal RNA
Source: RNAcentral